This 374-nucleotide ribosomal RNA is filed under the name uncultured Archangiaceae bacterium. RNAcentral's name for it is "bacterial SSU rRNA". It matches the Rfam family "Bacterial small subunit ribosomal RNA", at positions 171 to 523 of the family's 1533-position model. The record is from RNAcentral. Lineage: Bacteria; Pseudomonadati; Myxococcota; Myxococcia; Myxococcales; Archangiaceae.
CGGUAAGCUUACGGUGUCUUCGGACGCUGUGGGAAAAGUAGGCCUCUAUUUAUAAGCUUACGCUCUGAGAUGAGCCGCGGCCCAUCAGCUAGUUGGCGGGGUGAACGGCCCACCAAGGCAACGACGGGUAGCUGGUCUGAGAGGACGAUCAGCCACACUGGAACUGAGACACGGUCCAGACUCCUACGGGAGGCAGCAGUGGGGAAUUUUCCACAAUGGGCGAAAGCCUGAUGGAGCAACGCCGCGUGUGUGAUGAAGGUUUUCGGAUCGUAAAGCACUUUCGACCGGGACGAAAAACCUCUGGCUAACAUCCAGGGGCCUGACGGUACCGGGAGAAGAAGCACCGGCUAACUCUGUGCCAGCAGCCGCGGUAA